Molecule: ribosomal RNA, 501 nt
Filed under: uncultured bacterium
Lineage: Bacteria
Description: partial 16S ribosomal RNA
Rfam family: Bacterial small subunit ribosomal RNA
Source: RNAcentral
AUUGAACGCUGGCGGCAGGCUUAACACAUGCAAGUCGAGCGGGGAAGGGUAGCUUGCUACCUAACCUAGCGGCGGACGGGUGAGUAAUGCUUAGGAAUCUGCCGUUUAGUGGGGGACAACAUUCCGAAAGGAAUGCUAAUACCGCAUACGUCCUACGGGAGAAAGCAGGGGAUCUUCGGACCUUGCGCUAAAUGAUGAGCCUAAGUCGGAUUAGCUAGUUGGUGGGGUAAAGGCCUACCAAGGCGUCGAUCUGUAGCGGGUCUGAGAGGAUGAUCCGCCACACUGGGACUGAGACACGGCCCAGGCUCCUACGGGAGGCAGCAGUGGGGAAUAUUGGACAAUGGGCGGAAGCCUGAUCCAGCCAUGCCGCGUGUGUGAAGAAGGCCUUAUGGUUGUAAAGCACUUUAAGCGAGGAGGAGGCUACUUAGAUUAAUACUCUAGGAUAGUGGACGUUACUCGCAGAAUAAGCACCGGCUAACUCUGUGCCAGCAGCCGCAGUAA